RNAcentral lists this ribosomal RNA (433 nucleotides) under uncultured bacterium. RNAcentral's name for it is "partial 16S ribosomal RNA". It matches the Rfam family "Bacterial small subunit ribosomal RNA", at positions 29 to 507 of the family's 1533-position model. The record is from RNAcentral.
AACGAACGCUGGCGGCAUGCCUAACACAUGCAAGUCGAACGAGACGUUCGGGCCUUGUGGCGCACGGGUGCGUAAGGCGUGGGAAGUUGCACGUAAGUUAGGAAUACCUCACCGAAGGGGGAGCUCAUAAAGGAUAAUCUCAUAGCAGCUAGGAUUUAUCGCCUUUGGAUGGGGCCGGGUUGGAUUAGCGAGUUGGUAGGGUAAAAGCAUACCAAGGCGACGAUGCAUAGCUGGUCUGAGAGGAUGACCAGCCACACUGGGACUGAGACACGGCCCAGACUCGUACGGGAGGGAGCGGUGGAGAAUAUUGUAGGAUGGGCGAAAGCCUGAUCCAGCAACGCCGGGUAAGUGAUGAAGGCCUUAGGAUUGUAAAGCUCUUUUUCCCGGGAUGAUAAUGACAGUACCGGGAGAAUAAGCUCCGGCUAACUCCGUG